RNAcentral lists this ribosomal RNA (470 nucleotides) under uncultured bacterium. RNAcentral's name for it is "partial 16S ribosomal RNA". It matches the Rfam family "Bacterial small subunit ribosomal RNA", at positions 28 to 507 of the family's 1533-position model. The record is from RNAcentral.
GACGAACGCUGGCGGCGUGCUUAACACAUGCAAGUCGAACGGUGAACGAGGGAGCUUGCUCCCUCCGGAUCAGUGGCGAACGGGUGAGUAACACGUGAGCAAUCUGCCCCGCACUCUGGGAUAAGCGUUGGAAACGACGUCUAAUACCGGAUACGCCGCGGGAGGGCAUCCUCUCCGCGUGGAAAGAACUUCGGUUCGGGAUGAGCUCGCGGCCUAUCAGCUUGUUGGUGAGGUAACGGCUCACCAAGGCGACGACGGGUAGCCGGCCUGAGAGGGUGACCGGCCACACUGGGACUGAGACACGGCCCAGACUCCUACGGGAGGCAGCAGUGGGGAAUAUUGCACAAUGGGCGCAAGCCUGAUGCAGCAACGCCGCGUGAGGGACGACGGCCUUCGGGUUGUAAACCUCUUUUAGCAGGGAAGAAGCGAAAGUGACGGUACCUGCAGAAAAAGCACCGGCUAACUACGUG